RNAcentral lists this ribosomal RNA (518 nucleotides) under uncultured bacterium. RNAcentral's name for it is "bacterial SSU rRNA". It matches the Rfam family "Bacterial small subunit ribosomal RNA", at positions 501 to 1022 of the family's 1533-position model. The record is from RNAcentral.
CUACGUGCCAGCAGCCGCGGUAAUACGGAAGGUCCAGGCGUUAUCCGGAUUUAUUGGGUUUAAAGGGAGCGUAGGCGGAUUAUUAAGUCAGUGGUGAAAGACGGUGGCUCAACCAUCGUUAGCCAUUGAAACUGGUAGUCUUGAGUGCAGACAGGGAUGCUGGAACUCGUGGUGUAGCGGUGAAAUGCUUAGAUAUCACGAUGAACUCCGAUCGCGAAGGCAGGUGUCCGGGCUGCAACUGACGCUGAGGCUCGAAAGUGUGGGUAUCAAACAGGAUUAGAUACCCUGGUAGUCCGCACGGUAAACGAUGGAUGCCCGCCGUUGGCGCCCUGCGCCUGCGGCCAAGCGAAAGCAUUAAGCAUCCCACCUGGGGAGUACGCCGGCAACGGUGAAACUCAAAGGAAUUGACGGGGGCCCGCACAAGCGGAGGAACAUGUGGUUUAAUUCGAUGAUGCGCGAGGAACCUUACCCGGGCUUGAAUUGCAGUCGCUGCCCACAGAGACGUGGGCUUCCUUCGG